AAAAAAAAAAGUUAGAUUUUCCAUUUUAAUUUUAGGGAAAAUAUAGAUGUGCAAAAUUUAUAUUAGUACCCUCAACAAAAUUUUAAUCGAUUUAACUUUUUCAAAUUUUGAUAAAGUUUACCAUCCGACUUUUUUGUUAAUUUUUCAUCCUGAUCUUUGUUAAACCUAUAGACGUUGACUCGUACAUCCACUCACCUUUAGGGCUCAGCUCAUUUAAGAAAGUUUGAGCUCGAGUUUAAUUCAAACUCAGUUCAUUUAAAUCCCGUCACAAUAGAUAUCACGCAUGUAAAAUACGUUUACAUGUUUUUGGUAUUGUGUGGCAUGCCAAUUAACAUGUUGGAUAAUCUUAACAUAGUCUAUGUUAUUGGGCAUCACAAGACAAUAAUCCUUUAUUUGAAUAAUUCAAGCACACACUACAUGUAAAGAACCCCAUGUUUUUAAAGUCGUUAAAACAAAAGAGAAAGUGUACAACGUUGGGAGUCGUUUAAUUUUAACAUCUUUUAAAGCAUACCAUUUAUAUGAAUUAAUAUUUAAGACUUAUUAAGCACACCUUGUUCUGUUAUUAAUUUAUUUGACAUACCUUCUCACAUUUACAAGGGAUGAUUUAUUAAUAUUUCAUUCUAGAGAUAUGGCUUUUCGGGUGGAUUGCAGUGGCCUCUUCAACUUGAUGGGCAAUUUCUUUCUUUCCAUAAACAUUUGCAACUUCCUCAAAGUUGAAAUAUUUGGAGUUUGGGAAGCCAAUAUAAGGGUGAUCGAAGAUGGCAUUCGGAGAAGUUGAUGCAUCGUCGUUUUAUGAUUGCUUCAAUCGGUCCAGACGAUACACCAACUUCUGUUAAUUCCAUCUUUAAUCACCCUUAUAUCGAUUUAUCCAAAAUAAAAACGAGCAUAAACUAAAAAUAUAACAAUAACAAAAUAACAAUUAAAAAACUUGAUUAUUUUCUUCUAGCUUUCUACUUACAAAUGAAAAGCCUUUUAUAGGCCUCAUCUCCCUAAUAUUACAAUUGAUAUUAAGGGUUAGUCGGAUUACGAGUUAAUCGGGUUAUGAGUUAAUCAGAUCAUGAGUUAUUUGGGUUAUGGGUUAUUGGGCCGCCACAUGCAUGCAAAAAGUAAGUCAAUUUGAAAACUUUCCACACUAAUAUAACAAAAAUAUCUUCAUUUGACCAUUAUUUACAGGGGUUGCCAUAGUGAAAUAUGAUUUUUAGUCAUUUCCAUCAUGAAAGUCAAAUACUAGCCGAUUUGAAAAUUUUAAUUUUUCAUAUUAAAAUUGUCAAUUUCCAUGGGUUAGCACACGGAAAUUGACAGUUGAAAUUUGUUUAAAUUGACCAAUAUUUGACAUGUAUGUUGAAAACUACUAAAAAUCCAAGUUUCACCAUGUCAACCCCUCUAAAUAAUAACCAAAUGAAGUUAAAAAUCGUAUUAAAUAAGGCCCUAUGAAAUGAGAAUUUAAAUAACCUAAAAAACGGUAUUUAAUAGGAUUUAGAAUUUAGGACUUGCAAAAUAUAUUGUUUUGAUUUUUCUAUAUCAUCAACGGGUAACUAACGGAUAAGAAUCGGAUAAGAAUGGCUUGCAUUUCAUCCAAACUAAUUAUUAGUUAAUUAUUUGAAAAAUGCAGGUGUACCAGAAAAUAAUUUUUUUCCCUCCCUGGCUUAAGGUAAGAACAUAUUCAUGCUGUCUUUUGGGAUGCAUGCCACCAAGUAGUCAAACCACACAUUGCUUAAAGGUUCUCUCAAAGUUUUACUUUUCUUCAACAUGUUUUCUUGUGAUUAUCAACAUGGGAAACACGAUGACCUAAGUAAUUUUGAAUAAAACUAUGUAAUAUUAGUGAGUUGAGGAAUAACGUGAGAUUAUGAGAAAGAAACAAAAAAUUAAUAAAGAAUAUGUAUAUAAAGAAUGUUUUCAUUGAAUUUAUGACAAUUUAACCAUAAUAUGUGAGAAUGACAAUAUAUUUAAAUAUAGCUUGGCAUUGAGCAUGAUGGCCUCACCCUAAUGGCCGGUAUUGUGAUCGGAACGAUCCUAAUCCUUAGUUUGACGCGAUAAUUAGGAUUUCACCACCUAUGUCUCUAAACUAUAACCUAGUCGCGAUGGACCAAUCUGAUGAGCUUCUAGCCUCAAUCACACCCAAGAAACACUUGGCGAUCCAUUCUAGAGCCAAGCGACUAUAUCCCAUGAGAUCGGUCGACCAGCAACAUAUAGAAAAUUCAGUAAAUCCCAAUUUUUUAUGAUUUUACCUAGCUAUUUGGGUGUGUACGUAUGCAUAUCAAUCUAACAAUGUGAACGGUUAUCUAGGCCUUCGUCCUAACGAACCCAUCGCUACCCAUGGAUCAAAAAGAACCAAAAAUCUACGAGCGGGAAACUUGAACAUUCACGGGCAAGAGAAACGAGGGGACAAAGAGCAUCUCUAGAUCCAUGGGGAAAAUAUUUUUGGAGGAAGCCGUUACACAAAUUGAUGCAGAAAGAGAAAUGAUCAUAACUUCUUCUGUAUGCAAAAUUUGACUCUGAUUUUGGGUUUUGUUUUGUGGCGGUGGCAGCAAAUAAUACGGCGGGCGCUCGUGCAAAUUCCAGCUGCGGGGCUGCGGCAUCAUCAUCUUCCUGCGAAUUGGUUGGUUGGUUGGGUUUUAAAUUUUGCUGCUUAGCCCACAUCUCUUUGUCUGUCUCUUUGUGGGUGCGUGGGGUGUCAGCGUCUCCCACGCAUCUCAACUUUCUGUUUGGUUACCUAGCUCCCUCCAGCCUGUGGUCAAACUCUUUCAUCGAUUCCUUUCCUCACUAGAAAUCGGUAAUAUCGAGUUCAAAUUCAGUAAUCGCAAGGACACUACCUGUUAUUAGGCCCGGAUACCAAAAUGUAGAAUAAGAGGAAUGAGUGUUGGGAAGCUUUCUUUCCGGGAAAAGAAGAACUAAUUCAUUCGGUUUGAGUGACGGCGGGCAGAAGAACGAAGUAUCCCAAGUUAGGAAGCUAGGAAAAGGAGCAUACAGACUGUUGGUAGAAGGGUUUAACAUUAGACAAUCUAACAUAUGUUAGGUAUUCUUAACCACAGUCUGAUAAAAUCGUUUUUAGAAUUAGUUUUCGUUCGAUUAAAUUAAGUAGUUUCUUAUUAAAUAGGUUGUAGUUGCGUGGUUAUAGCUAACUCCUGACUUUGUUUCCAAAGAAUUUGAGUUCAAAAUUUGGAAUGAGCAAAUAUCAGAUCAUUUAAUAGCAUCACUGAUCUUACCUAAAUUAAAAAUCGAUAACCCAAAAACGUGUAAGAUGACAUUACUAACUACAGUGUCCGUUCAAUGUGUCACCCUCUUCUACCUAAGUAAUCAUCAUCAACCAGUCGCAAUAUUCCCUCCCUAUUUUGUCUCAUUCAAUUCAAACCCCUUAAGUAUUAUGGGGGUAAUUGCAUUAUUUAUGGGCAUAAUUCCGCCACUAAUCAUUAAUCAAAAUUAAUUAAUAUAUAAUAAGUUAAUCCAAUUUCUUUGUGAUGUUAAUGCACACACCUUAAUUGGUUGGUGGAAUUAAUGGAAGAAGGGGAUCUGGCUAAUCAUUAAGCCGUUUAGUGUUGUGUUUUGUAACAGCAAAUCAUUGACAAGUUUAGUUAGGUAUUUGAUUUGGAUAUUCUAAAACAUGUUACUCCUUCUUUAUAAACUUCAAUGUUUUAUUCACAACUAUCAUAUAGGAUAUACACCAUGAGCAUUUUUGUAACUCAUUGUCGAUAAUUCAAGUUAUUAAGAGGAAUAAGUUAUUGAUAUAAGAUAUCAAAUAUGAAGGUAAUUUGUGGAGUUGGAGGUGGCGUUCUCUGAAUUUUGACACACUGUGUGGCAAGUUUAUGCAAGUUGUGGAUCCUAGAUUUGGAAGCGAAUAUGUAGGUGUUGUGAAGGUUUUGAUAGAAAUUAAUGAUGUUGCAAGAACAUACUUUCAAACACGAAAGGUGAUGUCGUUCCUCCCUAAUAAUUAUAAUUUUUUAAAGCCUUUCAAAAACAGAAAAUUUUCUGAUCCAAAUUGAUGAAUGAGGAUAAUGGUUAGUUUUGAAUUAUUUGACUCGAUUAAUUAGUAUUGGGAACUUGAUUUACAUUUUUUUUGGGUAGAAAAUGGACAUAAGGGUCUUGAUUAUUAACUAAAAUCAUUGCGAGAAAAGCAAACUCCUACCAAAUCUGCACACAAGCAACUCACGACUUCAGUCGGAAAACCAAAAGGAAGAGACUGUCCCCGAUGAAAAAAUACCACCUACACGAUAAACUAAGUGUGCAAAAUGUACACCUCGCGAUCGUGUUUAUAAACCGGAUGCGCUUUCAAAAUACAUGAUAGGUGCGGAAAGUCAUCAGUAGGAGUCCAAAUUUUUUCUUAGAGAAACAAAUUCCUUGUGCCAUUACAUUGUUUAAUGGCACUAGAGUUUUCCAAAUUAAAGGUGAUCGUGAAAGGUCGUAUGUUGAAUAAUUAAAAAACUGUGUAUUAGGUAGAAGGGAGAGGGUUUCAAACGUAGUUGCAUAGUUAAUUGAUUGAUAAUUAUGAUUAGGACCCAUAAUUAACGUAGACGAUGGUGGUUUGCCACCCAAAAUGUCCAUUUUAAUAUUCUCACAGCAAAUUAGUUGUAAGAAUCGUCAACGUUUGUUGCAAUGAUCGUCGACUGACCAAAAUCCAACAUUUUUAUUUUUCAUUAUUUAUUCUUUUACUGCGCAAUAUAUUAAUUACUACUUAAAAAAAAAAAGUUAAUUAUCAUCUGAAAGGCGGCACUAAUGAUCCGUUAGUUAGUUAACAAGGAUUGACUGGAGAUCUAAUUUUUGUGCCAUGUACAUAUAAUAAAAAUUAAACUAGAACACAUGUACAAACAAAUUAUUUUUAAAUAAAUUGGUACUUUCCCCCCAAUAUCAUAUGUAUAAAAAUUAUAAAUUUAUUUACAUCUCUAGUGGCUGGAACAGUAUAAAACAUAUGUAUGGAAAAGUUAGAAUUUUGCUAUUUAAUUAUGUGGCAUGUCUUUUCUAGUAUAUAUAUAUAUCUAUUAAAUACUACAGUAGAAUCAUAGAUACAUGUGUUUUUUUCCAAUAUAUAUAUAUAUAGAGUUCCAUAGUAUAAAUUUAUUAUUAUGAAACAUUUUAUGAUUUAGGAUUAAUGGUCGUAAAUUUUUUUCAUUUGUUCAUGUUUAUUUAAGGUGGACAAUAAGAGGUGAUGGACUGUUAGGUUCAAGAAUUAUCGUUUAUAUUUCAGUUUGGUGUUGUGAAAAUUUCUCACUAAAGUAGUGAGCUUGAUAAUGAAGUAGGAUUAGUAAAGAAAUAUAAGAAAUGGACAAAUGGUACAAUCUGAAUUUAUGAGAGUCGGAGCUGUAUUUAUAGUAUGACACACGAACAAGUCAAUCUCAUCUCAACAAUUUAAGUGAUCAGAGCGAUUCUAACAAUUAUCAAUUAACUUAGGAUAAUCCACUAGAAUUCUCGUAAAUCAUCGAUGGACUAAUUAGUCCUUUCUUUGUAGGCAUUUGUACGUGUUUGGUCGCUUAAAAGCUGCUAGCUAUGAGAUUAGACACUAACUAACUAGAACCCGCGCAUAUUCAAAUCAUCAAUCCAACAAUGUUAGACCCUUUAUCUGAAACUUUGCAACAACGUAUUACUAUCAACAUCCAAUCCAUAAUUUCAUGGGACGUCUCAAAUAGUUGCCAUCUGAUCACAACUUGGUUUGAGCUCAAGUAUGAAACCUAGUCAAAAUGACUGUUGUCUUCUUACAUGAAACACAUCGACACAGAAAAAAAAACAUAAGCUGUGAUCUUCUGGCGGUUUCCAUAUCCAUUAGUUUGUAGAUUCUGAUGAAUCCAGUUCUUGUUCGAAACUUCCAUAUCCAUUCAUCUCUUUGUCGAUACCCUUUAUGUCUCUUACCGUAACCGACGGGAUUUAUGAGGCAUCCCGACAUUGUAAUUUGUACAUCGUUAGUUAUAGGGGAUCGGAUAUAUACAUGCUAUAAUAAUAUUAUUAUGAGAUCUAGACUCGAGAUUUAUUAUAUAUGGGAUCUCCGAUCAUCAUGUAACGAUCACUGUAAAAUUGUCAAAAGUUAAUCCAAUUCAACCUAAUCCAACAUUAAUUUGAGUGAUAUCUAAUAUGGUUGGGCUCGUAAGCCGUCCAAUUCAUCAUAACUUGAUGAAUCAUGACCUGAUUAAUCAAACAUGCAAGUAAUGAAUUGAAACAAUCAAGAGUAUUCCGAAUAAACCGAAUCCGACCCAGUAUUGAAAUUUAGCUCGAGUAUACUGUGAGUGGCUGAAAAUUAUGGACACUUAUCAAAAGACAAUUUUGGAUACCUUCUAUACAUCAAUAAAUAAAAUAAAACAAAAAUAUCAUAAAAAUUAGUAUAUAUAUAGUUCAUAUUCUUUUUUGAGUCAAAGCAAUAUCUUGGUUGAUGAGAUGAUGGGAGUGUUGAUUGUAGGCCAAUAGUGUUCAUGGAAGGAAUGGAACUAAUUAACUUUUUGGGCCACUUUUUUUUUCCAAUUAUUAUUAUUAUUAAAUAUAUAUUUAGUCUAUUUUUAGUCAUUUUUUAGAAUAUUGGACAAAUGGUGGAAGACAAACCUCAUAAAAACCUACACCCACGAGCGCUCUGAUGUGACGAAAUUGACCCCCCGCAAAAUAUGGGGGGAUGUGACACGUGUCGUCACUGGAAAGCCUGUGGAGACUAGUGCUACUACUGAUGGAGAAAAGAUCUCUCAUUUUCUUCUUCAUAAAACGUUAGUUUUGUUAGUGAGUAUGGCUCAGAAUUUGUGAUGCUGGGAAAAGGAUGGGAUUUUGCUUUUAUGGGCACUUUUUUUAAUUUAAAAUUUUUCAAUUUUAUUUUGUGUGUGGAUAAUGCUUGAAAAAAAUUUGUUGCAUGAUUGUUUUUACGAUAAUUAUGAAUAAAUUGGUUUAUUUUUCACGUCCUUCUUGUUAACUCAUGGAUUUGAUUCACAAUAGUAGAGUGUUGGCACUCCCUAGACGUGUGACAUAUCAACUACAAUGCGCAAUGAAAAUCAAUCUAACUGCAAAUGUACUCACUGGCCUUUCUCUAAAGCGAUAUUAAAUCUAGUAAGAUCGGCCUUAAUUAUGCCCGGGGAUGGGUGAUCAGAUUACACACACCGAACCUCAAACUGGAUGUUGAUAAGAUACAUCCAAACAAUCUCGAAUCAAGUUGAACGUAUGAGCGCCGAUUAAGUUUCCAAUUGACCAUCAUUAAUUAUAGUAAUUAUGGUAGUGUGAGAAGAGACACAAGGAUAAUGAUCACUCAUUGGUAAAGUAAUAGUACCAAAAUCGAUUAAACAACAAACAAUAAGUAUAUAAUUGCACAAGUAAACAGGUUGACCAUCACCUAUUCUCUUAUAUUACACAUUUUUUUAAAAAAGUGAUAGCUCUAUUCGAGUAAAAUAGAAGAAUAGUUGGUCAAAAUUAAAUUAUUUGUAGCUUAUAAAUCUAUUUAAAUUGCCAUAUCCUUUUUUUAUUUGCCCCAAAAGCUCAUGUCUUUUUGUUCGCAGAGUUGUCUGAUGAUUUAACUAAAACCCAACAACAUCAUGUUUGUUCGUUUAAAUUGUUAAAUCUUGUUUUUUUCCAGUUCGAUUAUAAUUUAAUGGGAAAAUCUAAGGGGAAAAUGAUCCAUCUAGGUCAUUAAAAUAGGGGAAAAGUGACAACUAAGNNNNNNNNNNNNNNNNNNNNNNNNNNNNNNNNNNNNNNNNNNNNNNNNNNNNNNNNNNNNNNNNNNNNNNNNNNNNNNNNNNNNNNNNNNNNNNNNNNNNNNNNNNNNNNNNNNNNNNNNNNNNNNNNNNNNNNNNNNNNNNNNNNNNNNNNNNNNNNNNNNNNNNNNNNNNNNNNNNNNNNNNNNNUAUUUUUUAUAAGAAAAAGUACUCAUUGCAACAUCUCUCGAUUUCAUUCGUGAUCCAUACACUACUUUAGUUUCAUGGUACAGCUAAAGGUCACUUGUUUACUUAAUUAUAUUUAAUGGAAGUGAGAUGUGAUGUUGGUGUUUUAACCUUUGAUUACCACUUAAUCACUAGAGUGCUAGUUCGAUGACCGAAAGAAAAAAGUAAUAAAUAUUGUUACGAAAUUAUAUUCACGUAUUAUUAUUACCCAAGGAAUUAAUAUAUGGUUUAUGAAUAAUCAUCAUCGGAAUAGAAUAAUAUAAGAUAAUAUCAUCAUUUAGUGCGUGAAUCAGAAUUGGUCAAACAGUUAGUAAUAUGUAAUCCAUAUUCAAAUAAAUGAGUGAACGUUCGUUUAUUAAUAAAGUCAAAAUCAUUAAAGAGAAUAAUCACUUAUAUGUUACAAGAGACAAUUAAAAUUAAUUAAAAAUAAAAUUGAACUCAAAAUGAAUAUGGCCAUAGUCCAACCUCAACCAUUUUCAUGUCUAGCUAGCUAGUUACUACUACACGAACCAUCUCAUCAAACCAAUCACAAACAUAUACUUAAAUCAAAUAUGAAUCGAACAUCACAAAAGAACACACAAAUGUACAAACCUUAAAUUAAAUAUGUCCAUCGUCUCAUUUUCAUGUCCAACUAGUACAUCCUGCUACUCAGGCCCACCCGAAAAUCAAACACGAAUCACAAACCACAAAAGAAACACAUAAGCCAAGUAAAUACUACUCAAUGGUGCUUUCGUCAUGGCGUUUGACAGGUGGAUAUUGAGGGUAACGCGAAGUUAGUCCUUAUCUGGCUGAAGUAGCAGAGCAUCCGAUGUGUGGCGGGCUGCGCCACCAUUCCAGAGAUCCUUGACUUUUUAAAGGUUUGUCAUCGUCUUCAGAUGAAGGUCCUCCAGCGAAUUGCUAACGUAACUGGCCACUCAAUGACGAGAAAAACUCUUGUACGUCUCUCUAUCAGUUAUGGAGAUUAAUCUCGCUAUCUCAAUCAAUAUUUAACUUUAUAAUGUUGUCUGCUAUCUAAAUUUUUCUCAUGCCUACUUUAAAACAAAUCGGGUCAGAUAAAACCAAAAAUAAACCAACCCAAACUAAAGCUAGGAGAGACUUAGGAGAGGGAGAAAUUGAAGGUGGAAUAAGGGUGAGAGAGGGACCCUCUUUUGCCCACCACCGCCCAUAAGCAAACAAGCACACAGUCUCUCUUGUACCCUCUGAAAUCUGAAUCUCUCCCCCUCUCCCCCACCACACUAGCACCACCAUCAAUCACCACCACUCCAAUCCUUAAUCCAACCCAUCCCCAACCCUAGAAAAAACAACCCCACACCAACCCAUCAAUUAAAAUAAAAACCCAACUCAACUCCCCCCUUUUCUUCCCCAUCUCUCUCUCUCUCUCAAACUUCUUCUCUUCUUUCAUCUCCAUCUUCAUCUUCUUCUUCUACUUGAUCUCCCCCAAACCCCCACCAACACAACCUCUAAAUUGAUACCCAUCCCACCCUUAAAGUAUGACCCAUAUGAUUCUUCACUAAUUCCCCAUCAACCCAUCUCCAAAGAUCAAAUCUGUACUCUUCUCCCCUCCCAACAAAGAUCAAGUCUAGUCACUAACCCAUCUUAAAAAAGAUUCAAACUUUGCCCCCCCCCCCCACACCACGUCUGCCUCCAACACCCGCAACACAACAGCUCUCUAAUGCAGCGCACCACNNNNNNNNNNNNNNNNNNNNNNNNNNNNNNNNNNNNNNNNNNNNNNNNNNNNNNNNNNNNNNNNNNNNNNNNNNNNNNNNNNNNNNNNNNNNNNNNNNNNNNGUCACCAACGUCGCCCUCCGUCAACCAGCUUCUCCCGGAGCCGUGGUCACCCUCCACGGCCGAUUCGAGAUCUUAUCCCUAGCGGGUUCUUUCCUCCCGCCGCCGGCACCUCCUGCAGCCACCGGGCUGACGAUCUACCUCGCUGGAGGGCAGGGUCAGGUGGUAGGAGGAAGCGUGGUGGGCACGCUGACCGCUUCGGGUCCGGUAGUCAUCAUGGCGGCGUCGUUUAGCAAUGCGGCGUACGAGCGGCUGCCUUUGGAAGAGGAGGAGCCGCCGCAGAUGGCGGCGGCAGGACAAGGCGGAAUCGGCUCUCCGGGAGGAGGAGUGGGGUCCACCACCCCAAGUCAACAGCAGCAGCAACAACAGCAGCAGGUCAUGGGUAGUGGAACCGGGUCGGGCGACCCGAAUGGAGCUCCGCUUUUCCACGGGUUGCCGCCGAACUUGCUGAAUUCAAUCCAAUUGCCUGCGGAUGCUUACUGGGGCGGCGGAAACGGUAGCGGCGGCGGUGGAGGACGUGCUCCUUACUGAAAUCAAAUCCAAGUAAUUGGUUAUUAAUUAUUAGUCAAACCAUUUUUCGAUUUCGCGCUUCUUCUUCAUCUUCUUUCUUCAAAUUCGAUGUUAGCUUAGUAGUAAGCUCUCUUCUUUGUUUUUUUUUAAUUAUGGAGGAUGAUUAAUUAGUUUUUUUUUCUUCUCCUUCUAAUUUGAAUCUUGUUGUUGUUGUUAAUGUUGUUUGCUGGGUUUGUGUCUGGUUUUUUUUUUGUUCCUCUGCAUUUUGGUUCGUAUGUUAAGUGGAUGGAUCCAUGAUUGUUUUGUUGAUGGGUUUAGAUGGGGAAGGAUUUUGUACAUGUUUUGUUUUCUGUUACCACGACUUUGGGUUAAAAUUAAUUAGUGGUAAAUUUUAAUUAAAAUUUACUGUUUUGUUGAAGAAUCUUUGAAGCAAAUGUAUGAUUUUCCCUACAGCUUGUUUAAUUUUGAUUUCUACCAUCUACAUAAAUGCGGAACAACGAACACGAGAGCCAAUGAGAUUGAUUUGAUUGAUGGAUUAUGAUUAUUUCUUGGAUCAAUAUCCAGAGACCACGUUAUUAUGAGUAUUAAUUAAGCUUAAGAUUUUUAGUCAAGUAUUUUUGGUACCCAUUAACACAAAUUAAACCAAUCAUUUGAUUACUCUAAACCUUAAUCCUCAUUUGUCUUGGAUGUUAGGAUAUGAUCUUUACAAGCAUUGUCGUCCAAAAUUAGAUUUCAACUACUACUUACUGACCUAAAAAUCCUUUAUUGAACUUAGAAUGCUACUAGGCUUCAUACACUUAACACAUGUAUAUAGCUAGAGUCGUAUAAAAUCAACCUGGUUCGACUGGAUCGAAAACCUUCUGUCCGUAUAAUAUGAUGACACGAAACUAGCUUAGCUAGUAAGAUCUUGUGUGUGUAUAUAUAGAGUCGUACUGAACUGUUCGAAAACCUUCUUCCUAAUAUGACAUGAAACCAGCUACUAAGAUCUUGUGUAUGCAUAUAGAGUCGUAUCACCCGCUGGUUCAACCGGGUUUCAGAGACCUUGUUUCUAAUAGGACACACAAAACAAGUUAGUAGAUAAGAUCUUGCUUAUAUAUAUAGAGCCAUCCAACCAGGUUUAACCAGAUCCGAAAACCUUAUUUCCAAUACAAGAAGGAACUAGCUAGCUAGCUAGCUAGUAGUAAGACGGAUGUUUCCAUCUCCACACUACUGGCCAAGUGUGGAGAACCUUACUCGAGCCUUCAAGAAAGGAUUCAUAAUGGUUUUUAAGUUGUGUUUGGUAUUUUCCCAAGAAAUGAAGGUUAGAAUUAUGAUAGAUAGAUGUGUGUGGGCAUAGAAGAGGGAGGGAGGGGGGGGGCUGGCAAAGGGAGGGUUUCAAGGAAUUAGGAGAAGGUGAGUGAGUGGUGACAUUAUAACCAAUUUACGAGGAGAAGCAAAUGGAAGCAAGGAGCAGAGAUGAAGAUAGAUGAGAAAGAAAAAGAGACAGUGAGGUAUGGGCUUGAAUGAAUUCUGCCUAUGUCUCUAUCUCUUUCUUCCUUAAUCUUCUUCUUCUUCUUCCCUUCUUCCUCUUGUGGGGUUGGUGGGUGUGACUGUGAACUUCUUACACACGUGCACUGACUCUGAACUUAGCUCUUUUUCGAGGCAAAACCCACGUACCACUCUCACUUGCUUACUUGCCCUUUUCCCCCAAGCUCCCAAUUUUUCUUUCUUUUCGGGGAGCAGGUGAAGCUAUAUUUUCAUAGCUUCUUUCUCCACCCCAAACAAGACAGAACCCCUUUUGUGACAGGUUUGAGAUUCUAUCCAUCUCUCUGCGUCUUAGUUCCAUAAAUGCCAAUGCUACAAAUCUUUCCAUUUGGAUAUCAAGGCUUGUUGUUGUCGGUUGUUAUAUAGGUGGUGCAUGCUUAAGUACAAUGUUGUGAAAUAGGGUGAUAACGUGGAUCUACAGUAUUCCAACGAGUGUGAGGUGAAAGAUGGUAGAACGAUCGAAUCGGUAAGUUUGGACAAGGUAUCGAGUUCAAUCAUCGACUCUGUCAUAUAUUUUUGGUGUUAAUCGAGAGCUGGUUAGUUAAGAAUAUUUUCAUACUCGACAUGUUUGAAUGACAUACCGUAGCGAGAUUGCCCACAAUGCGAUAUUGGUUUUAACAACAUGGACGUACGUGGUUGAUUAUAUGUGUGUGUGUUUGCUGGACUCGAUAUCAAAAUUGAAUAUGUCACACGGAUGUUAAAGUCUAUGUAAUCACGAUGCAAGAGAUAAACUUGAAUCAGAGUUGCUGCUCGAUUUAAUGACAUUUAGCUUGAGUGUAUUAACAAGAGUUACAAGUAGCAGAAAAUGGUGAGAUUUAAGUGAAACAGUAAAACCCUAAGAUAGCCAGAUGUUGUGUCCCUUUGGUCUACUUCUUCUCAGGCAAAUAGAACUAACUACAUAUGCAUGCAUGCGGCUACAGUACUCUAACGCUAGCUAGUCCACAGAUUUGAUUAUAACUACUGUAUCUCGAUUCCCAUGCAUAUCCUUCUGAUAGAAGAUUAAACAUUGAGAUUCUAAGUUUUCUCUAAGUGGGUUUGUGAUAUGAGUAACAGUAAAUGCAAAGACCUUAUCUAAUAAGUAGAUAAUCCUAAAUAAAUUACCGCUUAGGUGGGCGGGCGUUGUGCUCCGUCAGGAGAGAACGGUGAUCGAUCAAUGAGUGGUUUGAUUUAGAGAAUUGGGUUGAAUGUUGAUUUGUUGCUCUUCUUAGGAGAUUCUUUGCAAGGCAUAUGAAAAUUGAUUUGUAAGUGGUAGUAUGAGAGGGCAUUAAGGGAUGUAAGAGAGGAAUGGAAGACAAAGAAGCACCAAUGUGUGCCCGGAGGCGUGUGGACUUAAGACGAUUUAACUUGAUAAGAUGUUUAACAUUACGCAUACAUGGUGAGUAUAGUGUAUGUAUUUAAUGAUGGAUAUUCUCUUUUCUUACACAGUAUCGAGGGUCGGGUCGGGUUGCCAUAGUUUUGCCGAUUGGUUGAUGAUCAUUUUGAGAUUGGAUCCAUGUCUUUGAUGAUGAAUGAUUGAGAUUGCUUAUAGGGUAUAGGCUUGAGCCUAGUUGCCCUAGGGAUGCGGGUUGGGUCUCUAGACUUGGGCGAUUUUCUUGAUAUCUUGGGUUUAGCUUGAAUUAAACAGUUAAAAAGUUGGAUGGAAUUUAAAUGACAACGGGAAAGUUCGCUCCCUAAUAUUUUUCUGUGUUCUAACUUUCUUAUUAAACCGAAAAAAUAUUUAAAAUUUCAUUUAACUUCCCCACCGAGCCAAAACAAGCUUAUAUGGAGAAAGAUAUUUAAUUUUGCUGUAUAAUUUUUAUCAAUAUAUUUAAGGUAUUGGAUAUUGUGACAAUUCCUCGUUUUUGAGAAUUGAUUUUCCUUCCCAAUAAAAUUUACCACUUACCAUUUUAUGGCAAAUAUUGUGUGUACGCAUAUUUAGAGCUAACCUCAAAUGAUUUGUGUUAGUAUCGAGAAUGAACAUGGUUAACCGUUUAGUUUGAAUCCAACAAAAACAAAAUGUAGAAAACGAUAGUUUGAUUUUAGAGAGAAAUAAAAAUUAGAGAGAAGUGCCAACAAAAUUUGGCUGAAAUGUAAUUAUUAAAUAGUAAGUUCGAACGGUAAUGUCUCUUAUUUAUGAAAAAACGAACGAUUGGUCAAUAAUUCAUCGGAUCAAUCAUUUAAUGCUCAGAUACGUCAAUUUUAUCAUCAUUUAAUGCUUGGCCCUCAAGUGAUUUGGCCAUACUUUAGAUUUAUAUACAUCUAAAUAUAAAUAUACGAAGCAAUUUAUAAUAUUAAUGUCCAUAUAUAAAACGUGUUGAAUUCAAACUCAAUAUUUUCAAAUUACUAACACAUAACGUCACCAACUCCAAUACAAUUUGUGAUUUCGUGCUCAUUUCUUUUAGUUUCUGAUUUGCUAAAUUUAGUUCUUGGGUGCAAAAAUCGAACCUUUGCACGAACCUGAGGCUUCGGGAGAAAGGCCACUCAGUUAUAGUUUAGUGGCGGACUUGGGGCAUAAAACCCAUAGAGAAACCACUUAUAUGGGCUUAAAGCCCAACCAAUGUCCUCAUAUGGCCCUCUUUUUUCUAGAUUUGAAGAGGUGCAAUAGGCUGCUAUUGCCAAAGUUUGAAAGUAUUCCUCAGCCAUUCUUAGGAGCAGCAACAAUGUACCAAGUCCACUUUCGAACUUUCAAGAUUCCCAUGCACACCAAAGUUAUUGAGCACAUAACCAUAUUUGAUUAUUAGGUUUGAUCUUGUCAAUCAAGAAACAGAAUUAGAUUCCAUCAUAUCAAACCUUUAGUCCAUCUAUAUAAAUCAUCCAAGGAUACACAAAACCAACAUCAUCAUACAUUAUCUGGGUUCAGUCCAUCUGUUCUCAAACACAAACCUUAAACACAAUAAACCAAUGUCAUCCAGAAGGAAUCAUCGUCAUCACUAUAGCCGUGAAGCAGCAGCAGCAGCCUCCGAUGACUACGGUUACUGCCAUUAUCCUGUGAAAAGGCGAGAGAUAGUGGCAGCAGCUCCACCGGCCAUCGUCUGUGUUAGGCUUGGUGGUCAUAAGAUUUGCAGUGACAACGUUGACACGGUAGCUGAGGAGUUCAUCAAAUGGGAGCACAGGAAGUUCGAAGCCAGCAAAACCAUGUCCGUUAACUAUGGCUAGGAAAUCACUUGUACAAUAAAGCUUAUAUUUUGAUGGGUCUAGAACUCCGAUACUAUGUACUAUGAAAUCCAUGGUUUUGAUGUAAUGUAACAGUAAAUUAAACAGUCUGGGAUAAUGUAACUUGUCGAAAAUCCAUAUGCAUCACAAUGUAACAAUAUGUUUCAUUUCAGCUUGUAGAAACAACUAACCAAAUGAGAAGCCUCUGUAAAAAAUCAUCUAACGUGCUCGUUGAGCACGCUACACGAACAAGAAAGAAAAGAACUACCUCAACUCACCACCCAAUUCGGAGGGGGAUGCGGAAUGGUCAAACGAGAAAACUCAAAGGAAAGAAAUACCGUAUUAAUCGAUGGUUCGGAAACCAUCGACUUAUAAACUUAUAGAGGAUCGUCUACAGUCACGCUUGUAAUCUUUGUGUCUUUGAAUUGGUGUCGCCACCAUCCACUGCUGCCACAGCAGUUUAAAAGAUUCCUUCUUUCGAUCUGUUUGAAGAUAUACUGAUUCAAUAACGGUUCGUUCGUGUUGUCAAUAUAUUGUCAAUUCAGCCUACUUGGAAAAUAAUAAAACAAAUGACAUACUAGUUUAUCCAAUCUAUAAUUAAUCCCCAUAAUAGAUUUCACACUAAAUUUCUCGAGACAGUUUGAAAAACUCUCUUGGAUGACCCGAACGUUGUCUAGACAGAGUUUGUUGGAAUAAUAUGGUGAUUGAUUUGUAAGGUUUGGAACUUGGGUGAUCAGUUUGCUGAAAGAAGAAAGUUGGGUGAUUGAUAUGAGGAAAUAAAUGAGUUGGAUGAUUGAAUUGUAAAGUAGGAAAAUGGUGGACUGAAAGAAGUAUUUGGAAAACGGAGUUUGGAUUACAGAGGAAGGAAGCUGCUGCUUUCUUUCUUCUGGAAAAUAGAAAUGGCUGCUGAAGCCUUUUGUUCUUUUGGUAUUGUUUUUAUGUUAUAACUUGGCUUGAUGCUUACAACACAAUGGAGAGGAGCUUUAUCAUACACAACUCAUUGAAACUAUGCAACUCAUUGGAAUUCCAAAUCAAGAUCUCUCGAUCAUUAAAUUAAAAAAUUAAGAGCUCUGAUUUUACUGGUCACCGAGGAGGGAGUGGAGCUUGAUAAUGAGAUCUUCUUCGUCCUCGCCGAAUUUACGACGCCGUUUCAUGUCGUCCUCGUCGACGUCUGGUACUUUUGAAGUCGAAGAUUCCAUCCCUCUGAGCCGACACCUCUUUCCACAGCCUUGGGCGCCAUGGCUGGUCGCUUCUUCAACUUGUUUGCUAUUGCUGACUUGUUUGAAAAUGGCGUCGUUCUCAUAAGGGCUCAUAGUUAGUGCUUCACUAAUCGUCGAAUGACGGGUGUGAAAGUGUAUAUUUCGAUCUUGGAUCUCGCGUAUUUAUAUGUAUACACUGUACAGAGACUGAAGAGCUAGAGGAAGAAUGAUGGGUGCAGUGCACAUGCAAAAGAGGAGGCAAAAGCAUGCAAGCAAGCAUGGAAACUAAGGGGUUGAACGGUGGUGGUUUUGGGAGGCUAGCUUGCUUAUGUGGAAAAUGAAUAAUAUUUGAUUUGAAAAUUGAAUUUUUUUAAAAUUAAUUAAUAUUUGAUAAGUAUGUUGGAAAUGGUUAAAUAUUAAGGUUUUAUUAUGUUCAAUUCUAUCAAUAAUAGUUAAAUGAAGUUAAACAAAUUUCUCAAUAUGCUAAAAUAACGAGUAAAAUUGAUUUUUAACUACGCUUGAUCAUUAUUUAUAGGGGUUACCAUAAUUAAACUUAAUUUUUUAGUCAUUUCCAACAUGCAUUUUAAAUAUUAGUCGAUUUAAAAUUUGUGAUAUUUUCUUGUGAAAAUGGUUAAUUUCCACACGUUAACCCCUUUGGAAAUUGACAAAUUUGACAUGAAAUUUUUUUUUUUUAAAAUUAGCUAAUCUUUGACAUGCAUAAUGGGAAUGACUAAAAUUUGAGGUUUCAAAAUGUUAAGCCCUUCAAAUAAUAGGCAAAUAAAGUUAGAUAAUAUUUCUUCACAUGAUUAAACAAUAUCAAGUUAAUAUGAUUUUAAAAUUCAUAAUCCAAUUAUUUCAGAGGUCAUUAUGAUUGAAACUUAGCUUUUAAGUUAUUUCCAACAUGCAUGUCAAAUACUAAUCGAUGUGAAAAUUUGAAAUUUUCAUGUCAAAAUGGUUCAUUUCCAUAGGUGUUCCCUUUGGAAAUUGACAAAUUAUGAGGUGAAAUUUAUAGGUAUUACCAUAAUGAAACUUGAUUUUAAAUCAUUUCUAACAUGCAUGUUAAAUAUUAGUUGUUAGGUGUGUUUGGUAACCUGGAGGUCUAGAGUUCGAAUCCAAUCACACCUCAUAAAGAAUAUCAUGUUAUAUUUAAUUGCUUAUUUCUUGUUGAAUGAUUAAUCUAUCGGUCUUCCGCCUCAUGGUUAAGAGAUGAUCAAGUUUGAUCUUUCUAAACCUUCGAAUUUGAAUGAAAGAUAGGAUGCAGUUAUAUCUCGAUCAUAUAAAAUAAAACUUAUUUUAAAUUUAAUAAAAUUUCCAAUCAGCAAAUAAUUAUUUCAUUACACGCGUAAUAAAGUUUACAGAAACAAACGACUCCCAUACAAACGAAAAAAAAAGAAAAAGAAACGCACACAAUACUAUUAUUACUUCCACAAUUUCCUUUAUUCAAAUGUAACAGAAUAAAUGAACAAUGGUCAUGGCAUGGUCCAUUUGCGGUUGCCUUUCAUGAAUAUCGUUCUUAAUAUCGUACAAAGAAGCCUUGAUUACGACUCGAUCCCCUAGGCAAAUUCGUUAGAUGGCAUGACAUCCUUGUGGUACUGGAAGACUUGAUGAAGCUAAGACUCGAUUCCCUUGGCAAAUUCGUUGGAUGGCACGACAUCCUUGUGGUACUGGAAGACUUGAUUAGGUUGUGUCUCGGUCCCAACCGCAAAUUCAUUAGAUGGCACGGCAUCUUUGUGGUAUUGGAAUACUUGAUUAGGUUGCGACUCGAUCUCCUUGAAACCUUCAUUUGAUGGCACGACAUCCUUGUUGUACUGGAAGACUUGAUUAGGUUGUGACCCGAUCCCUUUGGAAAAUUCAUUUGACGGCACGACAUCCUUGUGGUACUGGAAGACUUGAUUAGGCUGCGAUUCGAUUCCCUUGGCAAAUUCGUUGGAUGGCACGAUAUCCUUGUGGUACUGGAAGACUUGAUUAGGCUGCAAUUCCAUCCCCUUGGAAAAUUCAUUAGAUGUCACGACAUCCUUGUGGUACUGGAAGACUUGAUUAGGCUGCGACUCGAUCUCCUUGGCAAAUUCAUUAGAUGGCACGGCAUCCUUGUGGUACUGGAAGACUUGGUUAGGCUGCAACUCGAUCUCCUUGGCAAAUUCAUUAGAUGGCACGGCAUCCUUGUGGUACUGGAAGACUUGGUUAGGCUGCAACUCGAUCUCCUUGGCAAAUUCAUUAGAUGGCACGGCAUCCUCGUGGUACUGGAAGACUUGAUUAGGUUGCGACUCGGUCCCUUCCGCAAAUUCAUUAGAUGGCACGAUAUCCUUGUGGUAUUGGAAUACUUGGUUAGGUUGCGACUCGAUCUCCUUGGAAAAUUCGUUGGAUGGCACGGCAUCCUUGUGGUACUGGAAGACCUGAUUAGUAUCACAACGUACAUCGGCGUGAUCAGAGUUUGCAGCAGGCAGUAGGGAUUCGAUUGCUUUGGGCAUAAGCUGAUCUUUCAUCACAGAUUUCCAGUAACCCCCUAUUGAGUCUUUUCUUGCAUUGACACUAUCAGCUCCCAACUGCAGCAACAUCAAGAUCAUAGUAUUCCAUAAUUACUUUAAGAACAUAUAAAUAACUUUACAUGAUCAGCUAGUACUAAUUAAUAAUGGAGGAAAAUGGGGAUAAAUUGAAGAAACGUAUCAGUCUAUCAGUACCAGUACUACAAGUAGGACGAGAGUGAUGAAUGGCAAAUGAGAUGGCGGCGCCAUAAGAUUCAGAGCUUCAAUUCACUUGUACUUUGGUUGUGUUGUUGGAUAAUAUAAUGUGGUCGUUUCGAAACUGAUCUUUAUAUAGGACCAGAGAAACAUACAUUUUCCUUUUAUCUUUUUUUUUUAAUUUUAAAUCCAUAUAUACAUUUUCACUCAACAUAUUGUUUUUCGAAAAGAAGUUUCCAUUAAUCGUCAAUCAUGACGGAGUAACACCGUAAUCGUACAAGAACUCCCUAACAAUUGACCGCCAAACCAAACUUGCUAGGUAUAGCGAUUGAUAUUAAUGUUUGGAUUCGAGAUAAGCAUAGAAGAGGUUCGAGAUAACAGGCCAGUUGGCAGCAGUGAAAGAGAACACUGAGAAAGGAGAGGUGGAACUGUUAGCUACUAAAAAAAGAGUGUCGCUCUUUGGGGCAGCUCGUCGCUCGACAACUAAAUCUGACACGGAUAUCGAGCUGCCCCCAGGAGCCCUAGUAUCCUCAGCGGCUAACACCGUGCUUAGAAACAUAAUGAAAUCAUAAAUAUUAAUAAAUAAACCAAAAUUUUAAUACCUAAAUUGCCCUUAUCUCUGAAAUCUUUGAAUGUUGUAUAUUUGAAGCCAAAGAUUUUCGGUUUGUCAUAUUGAAAUAAAAAAUCUCGAGAAUUAUCGGAAGGGUGUCGUUAUUGGAAGUAUAUCGAGAAUUAUUGGAAGGAUUAAAUAAAUAAAAAAUGGAUCGGUUGGCAUGUCGCAAUCGCAAAGUAAUAUAAUCUUCCAAAUUAUUGGAAGGAUGUUAUUUCAUCCCCCAUUAUUUUUUUAAAAAUUAACUUUGAAGCUUUUGGUAAAGUAUUCAAAUCUUCAAAUAAAUUUUUAGGAGGACUAUCACUCACAGUGGAUACGACACGACAUUGUAAAUGUGUAUAGCUAAUGCAUACACGUUCAUAAUUCUAAUCAUCCAAAAAACAAAAAAAAACCCUAAAUAAAGAUUUAGCUUACAACCAACAAACUCGAAGAAAAAAAAACAAAAGAUAACUGAAUAGAAACCCUUGAAUGUCGCCACCUUUUCUUCUUCGUUCAGUUACAAUGUGUCUACUUGUCAUUCCAGCACAUCAUUCCAACGCAUAAUCGUAUAGAGAAACUUUUCAAAAAAAGGAAGACAAAAACCUUAAUCACAACUUUAAUAACGUCACUACCGUUGUUAAUUAAGAUCCCACCGUCAUUUUUAAAACGUAGAACGCCUCAAUUUAGAAUGCCGCCGCCGCUUGGAGCCCCUACUGCUUAGGGUUUCGGAUCCAAGACUUUCAAGAAUUAUAUCACAAUAUGUCAUUUGAUGAAAAUGCCUUUAACAUCAUAUAUUAAAUUUAUAACUCACCCAAUAUAUGUGUGUGUAUAGCACUUCUUCACUACCCAUAAAAUUUCAAUGAUCCGCAAUUUGAGCCAUCGUUAGCCAUUUGUAACCUUUAAUUUAUUGUUUCAAGUUUGUUUGUUUGUUUAUUUAUUUUAUUUAUUUUAUUUUUUUGUAUUUCUUAAUUAAUUUUAUGUUAAUGAAAAGCCCAGUCAUUUACAAUAUAGGUGGUUAAAUUGUCAAAAUGCCAGGACAAAUGGAAUUAGAUGGAAAAAAGACGACAUGAUAUUGAAAUUUAUCAAAAAUCAUUAAUUCAUAAUGUGGAUGCAAUUAUUAAUAGAUAGUGUUUAUUUGAGCCCCAUUUAUAACCUUUAAUUUAUUAUUUAAAGUUGAUUUGGUUUCUGACCAUAUCCAUAUGCAAUCUUUUGGAUGGCUGUCCGCCAACAUAUAUCACGAUGGUAAAACGAUAGGUUAAAUAAAUUUUUUUAUGAUAGCUUNNNNNNNNNNNNNNNNNNNNNNNNNNNNNNNNNNNNNNNNNNNNNNNNNNNNNNNNNNNNNNNNNNNNNNNNNNNNNNAAAUAUAGAAGAAAUUCCAAAACUACCCACUUGAAUCUGGAUAUCUCAUUAAUAAAAAGCUUACAAAGGUAUUUUUUUUCUCUAUUUUCAGUCCGAAUUAUAUGUUUUUAUAUACAACACUCGUGUCUUUUAAAAAAAUCAAUAUUGAUAUUUUUUUGUAUGAAUGAUGAUAUUAUUACAAUGCAAUCAGAGGUUUUAGAAGGAUAUAAGAAAUUUCGAAAACCAAAAGUUUGAUUUCAUUGUUUACAUAAAUUCGGAUUCAAAAGAACUAAUAGAUGCAGCUGAGCACGAGUAANNNNNNNNNNNNNNNNNNNNNNNNNNNNNNNNNNNNNNNNNNNNNNNNNNNNNNNNCUGAGCACGAGUAAAAAAAAUUGAAAAGGAAAACAAAUAAAAGAAAAACAAACAAAUCCAACCAUGCAACAACAUUAUACAACCAUGCUAACCAAUGGCGGAACAAAGGAUUUUGUUCGGAGGAUACCAUUUGUCGCCGUAUAUAAAAAUUAACUAUAUAAUAAAAAGUCAAAUAUUAGCAAAAUAUAAAGUUAACCAUCAACAAAAUAUAAUAUUAAUAUUAUAAUAUUAAAUCUGUAUAAUUACAAAAUAUAAUUCUAAGCACACCAUCUAUAACAAGUAUGAUAUGAAUUUAUAUUUAAAAAGCAUUAUAAAAUACAUUUUAACCAAGCUAACAAAUUCAGUCGUUCAAAUUGAUUUGAAACCACUGAAAGGAGGGGUUAGUCGGGAAGGUUUAGACGAGUUUUUGGAGGGAUGCGGUUAAGGUGUCGGUUGUGGAUUCCGGGACGAUGGGAGAUGAAUCAGAGAUGGAGGAGUUUGAUUUAAUGAUUUGUUUAAGCGAUCGGCUGAUGUGUUUUGUAAGUGUUGUAAGCUCUGUUUGGAUUCUGAUCCAUGACUGAAUCUUGACGACGGUGAAGAAGACGACAGAGGUAAUUCCAUUCCUCUGAAGAGCAUCUCGAUUUCCUGCAAUUUGGUACUAGAUUCACUGGGCGAUUGUAUCCAAGCAGGAUCAGCGGAAAAGUUUCCCAUUUUGGUGCUUUCCUGGUGGAGCUUAAUCUUGUUGAGGAAUUUGGUGGCAGAGGAAGCCAAUGUUUUGACGCGAGUGAGGGAGGCGGAUGCUUUCACGUACAGCUUCAGCCUCUCCGACGCAUUUUCAGCUGCAAACUUGCAGUUCGUCUUCACCUGUAAUUAAUUGAUUAACAGUUAAUUAUACUCCACUUGCAUUUACAGUGAUGACAGAAGAUUGGAUUGGAUUUUCUGAUGAAAUGAAAAGGAAGAUGGAGACUCCGAUCAGAUUGAUUCAUUCACUGUUUCAAAAGAAAAAAAAUUAGAAACAAAUAAUUUAUUGAAGUGGACGGUAGUUGAACCGAGAAAUUAAUUUUAUUUAGUGACCUUAUUGUGUUUUGGAUUAAAUUUAGGUGUUGGCCCUUAUAUGUUUAAUAUUUUAAAUAACCGACCAAUGAAUAAAUGCCACGUAGCAUGUGUAUGCCACUAAUACACCGGAGUUUUAAUCAUAUAAAUAUUUAUGAAAGCUCGAUAAUUCAAACCCAAUUGAGACUCUACUUAUUUCAACAAGAGAAAAAAGGAAAUUCUGAUUUAGUUGAUGUAAUUGCUUUUACCCGAUUAAACAUAUAAACUCGAAACCUAUUAUUAGUUUCACUCCUUUUGUUAAGGCUCUCCCUCAUGUUAUCCUUUUGACGAUUUGGCUCGAGAGAAAUAAUAGGACUUUUGAGACAAAGUCUUCUUCUUUGAAUUUAAUGAAUCGUAUCGUCGACAUCGUUUCACUUUGGUUCUCGGUGAAUGUCCAAAAUUGUAAAGAAGGGUACGGAAACUGGAUCAACUUCAACCAUCCAGAUUUCCUUCAGACAUUCCCAAAUCCCAAUCGCAAAGAAUCUUUCAAAUUAUUGGAAUGAUAUUAUUGCUUUCCCCGACAUCAAUUUAAUUUAUCUUUCAAAUUAUGGAUGUUUUGGAUGGCUAGCUACCAACAUAUCGACACUAACNNNNNNNNNNNNNNNNNNNNNNNNNNNNNNNNNNNNNNNNNNNNNNNNNNNNNNNNNNNNNNNNNNNNNNNNNNNNNNNNNNNNNNNNNNNNNNNNNNNNNNNNNNNNNNNNNNNNNNNNNNNNNNNNNNGAAAAUGAACCGUUUAAAAUCAAUUUAAAUAACCGGUACUUGUAAAUUAAUAAAUAAAUAUAAUACAAAUAUAGUAAUUAAUUUUGUAAAUACCCAUUAUUAGUGUAAUUAAAUUUUCAAAAUAAGUAAAUUUAAUUAAUUGAAAUAAAAUCAAACCGUAUACUUUACUGAUUAGGAAGUACACCAUGUCAUUUCCUUUUUUCCAAGAUUUGUGUAAUUUUCCUAAUCAGUUCAUCGGGUUUAGACGGUUUUGAGCCAGUUUUCAAUUGGGUCAACCAGUUUUUAAUGCAAAAACCCAAUAUGGGUCAUAUUUCUCCGGUUUUGUGGGCUUCCCGACCCGUCUUUCUUAACGGAUUACGAUUUUCACAGACAGACCGGCCGGGCCGAGCCGGAUCCGAGAACACAGGUUUUACGCUAUUUCCAUGUUUUUUCAAGUGAUUAGUUUGUCUUGAGAAACAAUUACUACAUUAUGAGAUAGAACUACAUUCAUAUGUUAAGUGGUGUCAUUUCUAUGUAUAGGUGUCAUUGCUAUGUCCCGUGUUAAUUUAUUUGGGCGUAAAAUGUGAAUGUAGAAUAUGAAUUAUCAUUAUCUAAAAGUUGCUAAAAACAUCUAAAUGAGUAACAAUAACUCUCAAUGGGUGUACAAAUUUCUUUGGCUUGUUACCCUGACUCAGAUGAAACGAUAUCGCAUGUGUUGCAGGAUUGUCCAUUCUUGAUUAUUACCUGGGAGCGGCUUCCCUGCUUGCCUACUUCUGAAGAUCCUUCUUUCUUUGAGACAUAACUCAUAUAGUUUGCGGCCACUAGACUUCUCUUUAACAUUGCUUGCUGGUUUUUUUGGCGAGUCAAAAGGGAAGCUAACUUUGUCUCAGCAGCUUAGCACAUCUCUCAAGCUAUUGUCACAACGUGUACGUGGAUGUUCGUAUUAGAGACCUGGCUUCGGCUUCUGGAGUAAUAAUUUGUACCACAAAUAUGCAUUUAUUUUCUUUCCAUAAUUUGUGGAGUAAUAAUUAGUAAUAAUUUGUACCACAAAUAAGUUGUAGGAGUUCCCUGCAACUAAUCUACGUGCCUUCAUGUUAUUGGAUGAAUUUCUUUUAAUUUUCCUUUCCUUUUUUAAUUUAUUAAUUGUUGGACAGUCAAGAGCGAGAUGUUCGUUAUUGGGAACGGCGUGCACCCCUGCAUGCCUUUCCCUCCUUUUUGCUACGAGGAAUAUUGGAGAACAGGAGUUGCACGGCGUGCACGUUUUCUUCUUUUUGCCAUGAGGAACACUUAAUCCAGGGAGGUGCACGCCGUGCACACUCCAAUUUCAGCAGCUUCCUAUAAAAGAGCUGAUUUUGAGGAAAGAGAACAACAAUUCCCAACUUCAUUUGUUCUUGAUUUUUCCCGGCUCUCCUCUGCAAAAACCAGCACAAAACCUCUCCUAGAAGCUCAAUUGAAGAUCCAAUGGAGUUCCUAACAAAGAUUGAAGUUAGGAUUGAAACUAGAAGACUAAAAUCGAUGAUUGGAGGAAGAACAUGUCAUUGUCUCUUCGACAAGAUGAUGGUUAGGGUUACUUUUGAUUUGUCUCCUUUUAGAAUUAUGAGUAGUUAAAUAUGUAGAGAUUCUUGGUAGAGAUGUAGGAUUUGAGCCAUGAUACCUGUCUUGAACGUUUAGAAACGACGAUUGUGAAUAUUUGAAUAUGAAUGAAAGAUUGUUUUGAUUGUUGUGUUUGCAACCUAAUUCUUUUUACGGCUUGAAUUAGGUCAAAUUUAUGAAAUCUUUUAUUUGAUAGACUUAGGAAUUCGUAAGAUUAAUAAUCAAGGAUAGAUGACAAGUUAUCGUGGGGUAAGCCGAUAACCCAAUUCUACCUUUUGUGUAAGCCUCCCGUGAUGGUUCCUCCGAAAUUGGUUGUUGAAGUUGAAGGACUUAAGGAGGAUGAGUUAGCGGACAAGGAUGCAGCUAAUGACAAUGAAGAUGGAGCAAAAGAGGCUGAAGAAGAAAUGCUCUUGCAUCCCAUGGGUAAGGGGCCAACAAAGACCAAUGGAGCUAGCUCUAACUCAAAACCAAUUUUGGCACCUUACAAGCCAAAGGUCUCAUAUCUCUUUCAACAACUCGCUUUUUCCCUUUGAAUCAACCCUUGAAUUAUUAUUUUAAUUUAAUCAUUAGAGUAAUUAAAACCCAAAACCAAUUAUUUCAGUCUAAACCGUGUUGACGAGUUCGAGUAGAGGUAUAACGAGAGGGACCUUUAGACAAAAACGACACUUGUGUUGUCGAAUUAACUGUGAAGUUAUUUCGACGAUCAAUCGUGAAUCGUCCUAAAUGACUAAAAGGAAAAGGAAACUCUUAUUUAUUUGAUGUAGUUGUUAUUAUAUUGGAUUGCCAACCAUUAAUCAAUUUGUAAUUUAGAAAAUUUUCGGGUUUUGGGUCUCGAUUUCGACCUUGUCGUCGAAUUGUCCUUUCAAUCUUUCUUCUUUGUCAGGUUCUCUUUCUUGUUUAUUUUGAGUUUAGUCUAUAAGAUUGUUUAGGAUUAAUUUGUCGGAAGAGUUCACGAAUGAAUUAUUCUUCAUCUAGUGAAGAUCGCGACCUCUUGUAAAUCCAUGUCGAAUAUACACCUCCUAUUUAGCCUUAUUCAACAAUGUACCGAGUAUCAUUAUUGGGAAAUAGAAUAAUGUCAAGGGUUAGAACUUUAGAAGGAUGAAUUAAAAUCAAUUAAUAUAAAUUGACAACAGAAAAUGGAUUACUAUGGAAUGAUGUUUUGGUGUUGAAACUUAGUGCUUGAAAAUGGAUUACUAUGGAAUGAUGGAUGGAUUUAUAAUGANNNNNNNNNNNNNNNNNNNNNNNNNNNNNNNNNNNNNNNNNNNNNNNNNNNNNNNNNNNNNNNNNNNNNNNNNNNNNNNNNNNNNNNNNNNNNNNNNNNNNNNNNNNNNNNNNNNNNNNNNNNNNNNNNNNNNNNNNNNNNNNNNNNNNNNNNNNNNNNNNNNNNNNNNNNNNNNNNNNNNNNNNNNNNNNNNNNNNNNNNNNNNNNCUUAAAAAUAAACGAACUAGAUAAAUCCACAUAGACGCGAGUAUGUGAUAUUUCGAGAGUACGAUAAUCGUUUUCAUAUAUAUAAUAAAUAUAUAUAUAUGUAAUUAGGAAAAAGUAAAAACAAUAGCGAGCUCCCACAUCUGCCCAACCCGAUGCUGAUGAGGUGCUCAGGAACGUUGUUUUAGACCAUGUGAUUAUUGUUGUUGGCUUUACGUUUUUGGUAAAAAUUUUAUUUUUUGAAAAUUGUUUCCAACCAUCAAUUAUACUUCGUAUAAAAGGUAUAUAUAUUUGUAUGCUUUGUACCACGACGUACAAAAGUGCUUAUACUUGUAUAUAUUACGUACGUACACACUCCUCACACAAGCCUACACCAAUUGUAAAUAUUAAUAAAUAAACCACAAUUGUAAUACCUAAAUUGCCCUUAUCUCUGAAAUCUUUGAAUGUUGUAUUUUUGAAGCCAAAGAUUUUCGGUUUGUCAUAUUGAAAUCAAGAAUCUCGAGAAUUAUUGGAAGGGUGUCGUUACUGGAAGUAUAUCGAGAAUUAUUGGAUGGAUGAAAUAAAUAAAAAAAUGGGUCGGUUGGCAUGUUCGCAAAGUAAUUUAAUCUUUCAAAUUAUUGGAAUGAUGUCACGUCAUAUAAGUGGAUAAAUGAAAUUAGACGAAAAAAAGACAACAAAAAUUAUUAGUUUGUAAUGUAAAUGUAAUUAUUAAUAGGUCGUAUUCAUUUUGAGCCAUCUUUAAUCAUUUGACAUUUAAUUUAUUAUUUAAAGUUGAUUUGGUUUUCUGACCAUAUCCAUAUGCAAUCUUUUUUCUAUGAUAGCUCCUUGGAGCGAUAAAGAAAUAACACAUACAUAUUAAUUAUGAAUCAAUUUAAAAAGUGAAAAUUACUGUAAUAUUCACUUGAAAUAUUUAAAACAGCCUCGCGUGUGACACAAUGGACGGCUCUAUUAUCCGACUGUCAAGCGGUUGCGUGAAAAGUGAAGCUAACUUUGUCUCAGCAGCUUAGCACAUCUCUCAAACUAUUGUCACAACGUGUACGUGGAUGUUCGUAUUAGAGACCUGGCAUCGGCUUCUGGAGUAAUAAUUUGUAGCACAAAUAUGCAUUUAUUUUUACUUGCCACUAACAUUCUGGAGCAAAUGACAUAAACCAAAGUCUCAUUACAAACACAAGUGUAGUAGCCUGGGUAUUACGCAGCGACAUGGUUGUGAAUCGGAACGUAAACGAGAUGAUCUUCAGGGAAGAAAUGGCAGACCUCAGUCUCCCCAGGCUUAACUCCAAGCACCUUAAACGAGAUGUGUCCUUCGGACCACUGAGAAGUGUCCAUGUGACACAUUGCAAGAGCUUCAACUCUGUCUCCAUUGCCAGUACUUGCCAAUGAAACCAUGAAAACUCUGUUCUCAGUCUGCUGGCUAUGGCAAUAGAAAAUAGCAUAUGGGUAUGGCACUGUGUGACAUGCCACCUGCCUUGUAGCCUUCACUUCCUCUGGCUCACCAACGAUUGUGUAGUUGUGCACAAGUUGGGUUCCUGCAGAGAAAUUUCUGAAUCUUGUUAAAAAUCUUGUGUAGAUUAGUCAUUUUCGUAAGAGUGAUCAACAAACAAACAAAUUUUAGGGUGGGCAUUCAGUUACGGUUCAUGGUUAGAAUUAGAAAUGAGUAAUCGAAGAUUUUGAAUCUGUAACUAACAAUAUUUACGUGGGUGAAAAGUUUUUGUCAAAAACGGUCGAAGUGGUCGGAGAAUUGAUCAAAAACUUUUUCAUGACUAGCGAUAGUGGUCUGAUCACCGAAAAUUGUUGGGUUAUAAUUAUAGUCCAAUUAUUUAAAUAUCAAAUGAUCAUAUUAGCGGAUUAAUCUAAACCCUUAGAUUGUAUGAGAGUAUUGAAGGGCAGCCACCCAAAAUUAUCUUGGAACUGUGACAAUAAAAAGGUAAUUUUUUGCACCGGAAUUGGACUCGGUUAAGGCUUUGAUAUUUUUUUAACCGAAACAAUAUUCUAAUAUACUUUCUUCAUAUUUAUAUCAAUCUUAACCAAACCUGAUAUUAACUAACCUAUUUUGGUUAGUUAAUAAACCGGUCAUCGCCAUGUCCCCCAGUUAGUAACCGCCCUGACCAUUCCCUCUAAACGUGCAACAACACUGAAAAGAAGAAUUGAGUGAUCGAUGAAUACCAUCAGAUUCAGGGGCUCUUGCACUUCUUAUCAAGUGGGUGGUGCUCAGGACCUUGAGCUGAUGCUGCCGGCCAAGUGUCUCCUUUGCGAAAUCGAGCAUGGAUUCCAAGGAAGUGGCGCAGAACUUGGUCUCUCCCUCGAUCGAGCUGCUCUCGCAGCUCGAAAGUGCCUCUGCCACGGCAGAGGCCUCUGUGGAGCCCGGCUUGUAGGAGAAGAGCUGGAGGAGGUAAGGGAGGUGUUGGGAGGAGAACGGGAUCGAAUCCGCUUCUUCUCUGACAAGGAAAUGCGGGGAUUUCGAUGGAUCGUCUCUGUUCGGGAAGUAGAUUUCCAUUUGGGAUCCUUGUUUCAGGUCUUUCAACCUGAAGAACACUUUCGAGCCAGGGCUCAUCAUCAUAUGAUGCUGAUGGUUAUGCUGGUGCUGAUGGUGAGUAGUUUCUUGAGGAACAUUGUGUGAUGCUAAGUCUCUUCCUCCAUCUACAGCCACCACCCAAUGGAGCUGAAAAUCACACCAUGAAUUAUAUAUUACAAAAGCAGAGUUAUUGAGUAACUUUUGAAGCAAAAAUUAAAGAGAGAUUUGAUUGUUGAUUACCACAAGGAGGGAGAAGAGUAGGCUCAAGAACUUGAGGGAGGUUUCUUUACCCAUCAUGCUUCAGAAAUUUCACAGGAGAUAUGACAAAUUGACAACAACCUUUUGUAGCAGAACGAGGAAAACAUAAAAAAUAGUUUCCGAAGCAUAUAUUAUCCGCCACACGUGAUAUUUUAGAGCAAAAUGAUAUAUAUUUGAGAAGAUAAUAUUUUAUGAGGGAUAAAUUGUUUGGUUGAUGUGUUAUUCAAUAUGGUAUUUGAUAACUGAAAUAUCAUAUUCUCGAAAUACAAUGAUACUUUAAAUACUUAUGGGUCAGGUAUUUGAAAUACCACUGCCCUAAUGCCAUAUAUUUUAUUUUGGUUACCAAACGAGUUAUGUUUAUGAUGAGAUAUUUGAAAUAACUCGAAAGUGAAUUAUUUAAAAUAUCAUAGUCCGAAAUGCCAUAUAUUUUUACGGGUCGUUUGGAUGAGUUAUUUCGCAUACGUGGUAUUUUGGAGUAAACUGAUUCGUUAUUUGAGAAUGUGAUAUUUAUNNNNNNNNNNNNNNNNNNNNNNNNNNNNNNNNNNNNNNNNNNNNNNNNNNNNNNNNNNNNNNNNNNNNNNNNNNNNNNNNNNNNNNNNNNNNNNNNNNNNNNNNNNNNNNNNNNNNNNNNNNNNNNNNNNNNNNNNNNNNNNNNNNNNNNNNNNNNNNNNNNNNNNNNNNNNNNNNNNNNNNNNNNNNNNNNNNNNNNNNNNNNNNNNNNNNNNNNNNNNNNNNNNNNNNNNNNNNNNNNNNNNNNNNNNNNNNNNNNNNNNNNNNNNNNNNNNNNNNNNNNNNNNNNNNNNNNNNNNNNNNNNNNNNNNNNNNNNNNNNNNNNNNNNNNNNNNNNNNNNNNNNNNNNNNNNNNNNNNNNNNNNNNNNNNNNNNNNNNNNNNNNNNNNNNNNNNNNNNNNNNNNNNNNNNNNNNNNNNNNNNNNNNNNNNNNNNNNNNNNNNNNNNNNNNNNNNNNNNNNNNNNNNNNNNNNNNNNNNNNNNNNNNNNNNNNNNNNNNNNNNNNNNNNNNNNNNNNNNNNNNNNNNNNNNNNNNNNNNNNNNNNNNNNNNNNAAUUAAUAUAUUUUUAAUAUCUAAAUUAUUUAUUAUUUUACUAAAAUAAUUCUUACUGUAUUAUUUAUUUCUUAUGAGAUCCGUAUGUGAUCUGUUGGAUGGCUACAUAACCCGGAGAGGUUUAAAAUCCAAGCAAAUUAAUUUCAGAAAUUUCAGAAUUUUUAACCCAAGGGUAGUUUGGGUAUUCAAAUUUUAAAAUUUAUUUUUAUUUAAUCUUAAUUUUAAUUGGUCCUGAAAGCUAAUCCUCCCUCUUCCGUCUUUUUUUCUCCACAAGAGGACGGGCGGAGAUGUGGCCGCGCUCCAAUGAAUAGAUGAGGGAGAAAGAGGGCCAAUUAGAGGAAGAGGCGUGGGAGAGCUCGGAGCGGUAGCGGCGGGGGGGGGGUUCUUCUUUUUUGUGGGGGGCCUGUUUGCGCUAUCGGCACUGGAUUCCAGAUUUGGCGGGCUCGGGGGAGGGGAGGUGAGGAUUAGCUGGUCUUCUGCUUCGACCAUGUUGAUUUUUAAUGAAAUAAUUGGUUAUUAAAAUAUAACUCAUUAAUUAAUGCUGAAGGACAAUAUUUACAUAAAAUCCAAGUUGUAGGAGUUCCCUGCAACUAUUCUACGUGCCUUCAUGUUAUUGGAUGAAUUUCUUUUAAUUUCCUUUCCUUUUUUUAAUUUAUUAAUUGUUGGACAGUCAAGAGCGAAAUGUUCGUCGAUGCGGAGAGAUUGGUUCCAAGGAUUGCGACUCUUUUUUUAUAUGUUGGAUGGUGAUGGCAGCAUUGAUGUGAACUCGCCUCCAAGAUUUCAGUUGACGGGAGGUGCCUUUUAAGAGUGGGAGGCGUUCCGGUGCUUCGUGGCGGCAUUGCCGCGACCUCUAAUUACGGUUGGACCUCCGCAGGUAGUGUGGCCUCGUGCACUUAUGGGAGCUUCUCGGUGAGCUCGUUGAUGAAGGCCCUCCAACUGGUUUCCUUCCCUGGUGAAGAUGACUUUCAUGCUCAAAUGACUGGGAUGAAGUUGGUGCCGACAAAGAUACAAGGGUUCUUGUGGCUCUCCUAUCUUAAUAGGAUCCUGACAAUAGAUAAUCUUCAAUGGCGAGGUAUGGUGAUGACAAACUGGUGCAUCUUAGUAAGAUAAAAGCAAACUUGUUGGCACACUAGGUCCAAUGUCAUGAGUUAUGUGACUAUCUAUGUUCACAGGAGCAUGAUGACCCUGACCAAUCGACUCGUUUUUCCAGAUUUACUAGCGGAGCUUUUUAUAUAUUAUAAAAUUUAUUGUGGUAAUAUAGUGAUAAUAUGAAUAUUUUUUAGAUAGAUAAUUGAUCGCGAGGGAGAAACUCAAAUGGAAAAACAACAAUUCGGAAAGUUUGAAAGAACCUGUCUUAUUUAAAUCUCGCCGAACUACCUACGAAUUUAAUCAAGGGAGAGCCACCUAGUAAGACACCUUUGUAAUGAUAGCGCUAACUGCAAAACACACCGUAUAUUUCGAUUGAACAACUUGAAUAACAUCAACCUCAACAUCCACCUACCAAAGCCCCACCCAAAACACCAAACAUAUGCCUACAUGACUACCAAAAGCCCCAAAAUAUAAGGGUGCAAAAUUUUAAAGUGGAGCGUGGAGCGUCUCGAACAACCAAACGAUCAAAGCGCCACAGCACCAUCCACAUUGACCGAUCUUUUAAGACAUGGAGGCUACAGAGGUGUCCCGGAUUAACAAUGAGAUCACUUAUUUUUUUAAUGUAUGUAUAUUGGAAACGGGGUACAAAUGGAUUCAGUAGUAAAGCUCUGUGUUUGGUGAUUCCGAAAAUCUUUUAUUUUGUAUUAGCCGAAAAUCUCGAUCUACUUUGAUAGAAAUAUACAUUAGAAACAGGCGAUUAUAUGACAAUUUUUAUGAAUGGGGUAAAAUUGAAAUGAAAUCUAUGAAAAUAGAUGUUAUUGGAAUCGAAAAGUUAUUAUGAACAAUAGUUGUGAAGAGAAUAAUUAAUUUUGAGUAGACUAAACAAUUUAAUGGAAGAAAAUUUAUUAGAGAGGGAAAAAUAUUUGAUGAGAAAUUAGAAAAUAAAUUAAAAGUUUAUUUAUUAUGAAAGGUGAAAUAUGAUUAUUGGGAUGAAAAAUAACAUAAAUCAAUAAAAAAUAUCAAAUAUGCCUCAUAUCAAUCAAAUUUUCUUAUAUUCCUAUAUAUUUUUUUAAAGAUUAAGAAAAAGUAAAAACAAUGGCGAGCUCCCAACUAUCAUAUGCCCAACAUGAUGCUGAUGAGUUUGUCCAGGAACGUUGUUUGGUAUCAUGUGAUUACAAACGACGAUAAUCACGUGGGAUGAAAAAAAUUCUAUCAAUAGAAGUUAUGGCCUCCGAAAAAUUGAUAAAAAAACUUUUUGGUGAGCGAAGCCGUAACCUCAUUUAUUUUGUUUUUAGGUUCUAUUUUUGUUCUUGUAAUAUCAGCUGCUAGAUCUCACAUACUAAUUUUGAACAGUUCAGAUGGGGUUAGGGCUUAUUAGAACGGCGCCGAUAAAUUUUUUAUUAGCACCCCGAUUGGAAACCUAGGAGGCCUAGUGUGUACUGGUCGAGGGGGGUAGUAGAGCUGCGGAGAUUACUGUAAUGCGGUAUCAUUAAACUAUGGGAAAAAUUCGAGUCGAUAUAUGAAACUAUUUUGGAUUCGCCAGUGUAGUGCCGGAUGUGAUGAAUUUGCUUGGGGAUUACAAGUAACUUGUUCCAUUCGAAGUAACUUGUUCUGCAUUUUUUUUUCGUCAUAUCAAUCAGACAUCAACAUCUUGAAAAUUUCAUUACACAGGUGAUAAACUUGACAGAAACAAACGACUUCAAAUCAGAUGAAAAUAAGAAAAUAAAAACAAGCAGACAGUAUUAAUACAAAUACUUCAUAGUUUCCUUUAUUUCAAAGGCCGAACAGCAAGCAUAGUUGAAGGUAGAACAUUCAGCAUGAUUCAUUCGAGGUUGUUGACAUACUUUUGAUUGAAACUUAGAGUUUGUUGCAUCGGAGACUAUUCUUAAUUAUCGGACACAAAGCCUUGAUUAGGUUGCGACUCGAUCUCCUUGGCGAACUCGUUGGAAGGAAGUCCGUCCUUGUAGCCGAAAGCUUGAUUAGGUUGUGACUCGAUCCCCUUGGCGAACUCGUUGGAAGGAAGUCCGUUCUUGUAGCCGAAAGUUUGAUUAGGUUGCGACUCGAUCCCCUUGGCGAACUUGUUAGAAGGGAGUCCGUUCUUGUAGGAGAACGCUUGAUUUGGUUGCGACUCGAUCCCCUUGGCGAACUCGCUGGAAGGAAGUCCGUUCUUGUAGCCGAAAGCUUGAUUAGGUUGUGACUCGAUCCCCUUGGCGAACUCGCUGGAAGGAAGUCCGUUCUUGUAGCCGAAAGCUUGAUUUGGUUGCGACUCGAUCCCCUUGGCGAACUCGUUGGAAGGAAGUCCGUUCUUGUAGCCGAAAGCUUGAUUUGGUUGCGACUCGAUCCCCUUGGCGAACUCGUUGGAAGGAAGUCCGUUCUUGUAGCCGAAAGCUUGAUUAGGUUGCGACUCGAUCCCCUUGGCGAACUCGCUGGAAGGAAGUCCGUUCUUGUAGCCGAAAGCUUGAUUUGGUUGCGACUCGAUCCCCUUGGCGAACUCGCUGGAAGGAAGUCCGUUCUUGUAGCCGAAAGCUUGAUUUGGUUGCGACUCGAU
This 33218-nucleotide long non-coding RNA is filed under the name Linum usitatissimum (flax). RNAcentral's name for it is "long non-coding RNA (LUSI_LNC003951)". Lineage: Eukaryota; Viridiplantae; Streptophyta; Magnoliopsida; Malpighiales; Linaceae. The record is from RNAcentral.